GCGUGCACGCGCGCCUGCGCCGCCGCGCCGAGCCGCAG
RNAcentral lists this unclassified non-coding RNA (38 nucleotides) under Sorangium cellulosum So ce56. Its description in RNAcentral is "sce_s2m_47". Lineage: Bacteria; Pseudomonadati; Myxococcota; Polyangiales; Polyangiaceae. The record is from RNAcentral.